UACAGAGGGUGCGAGCGUUGUCCGGAAUCACUGGGCGUAAAGGGCGCGUAGGUGGUGGCUUAAGCGUGCGGUGAAAGCUCGGGGCUCAACUCCGAGUCGGCCGUGCGAACUGGGCUCACUGGAGCAUAGUAGAGGCAGGUGGAAUUCCGGGUGUAGCGGUGGAAUGCGUAGAGAUCCGGAAGAACACCAGUGGUGCAAACGGCGCCCUGGGUCCGAACUGACGCUGAAGCACGAAAGCGUGGGGAGCGAACGGG
Molecule: ribosomal RNA, 254 nt
Filed under: uncultured bacterium
Lineage: Bacteria
Description: partial 16S ribosomal RNA
Rfam family: Bacterial small subunit ribosomal RNA
Source: RNAcentral